GCCCGCCUAGCUCAAUCGGAUAGAGCGUCAGACUCUUAUUCAAUAGGCGGAAUCUGAAGGCUGGGGGUUCGACCCCCCCGGUGGGCU
This is a non-coding RNA of Crucibulum laeve, 87 nucleotides long. NCBI's taxonomy places the organism in Eukaryota, Fungi, Basidiomycota, Agaricomycetes, Agaricales, Nidulariaceae. The record is from the annotation of a GenBank genome assembly.